GGGCCCGCACAAGCAGUGGAGCAUGUGGUUUAAUUCGAUGCAACGCGAAGAACCUUACCAGGCCUUGACAUCCUAGGACCACCUCAGAGAUGAGGCCUUCCCUUCGGGGACCUAGUGACAGGUGCUGCAUGGCUGUCGUCAGCUCGUGUCGUGAGAUGUUGGGUUAAGUCCCGCAACGAGCGCAACCCACGUCGUUAGUUGCCAGCAUUUAGUUGGGCACUCUAGCGAGACCGCCGGUGAUAAACCGGAGGAAGGUGUGGAUGACGUCAAGUCAUCAUGCCCCUUACAUCCUGGGCUACACACGUACUACAAUGGCAUUUACAGAGGGAAGCGAGACAGUGAUGUGGAGCGGAC
Molecule: ribosomal RNA, 354 nt
Filed under: uncultured bacterium
Lineage: Bacteria
Description: bacterial SSU rRNA
Rfam family: Bacterial small subunit ribosomal RNA
Source: RNAcentral